RNAcentral lists this ribosomal RNA (512 nucleotides) under uncultured archaeon. RNAcentral's name for it is "partial 16S ribosomal RNA". It matches the Rfam family "Archaeal small subunit ribosomal RNA", at positions 313 to 832 of the family's 1478-position model. The record is from RNAcentral.
GGGCCCCCCCCCCUGGGGGGCACAAUUUCGAAAAAUUUCCAAAAACGGAAAUUUAAAAGGUUUUUCCGGGUCCCAUUCCGUGGAGGAGGGUUUUACCCCAUUUAGAACGUGGGGGGAUAAGGAAGAGGCAAAGAUGGUGUCAGCGCCCCGGUAAUACCAGCUCUCCGAGUGGUGUGGAUGUUUAUGGGGCCUAAAGCAUCCGUAGCUGGCUGGGCAAGUCCCCUGUUAAAUCCACCGAUUUAAUCGUUGGUGUGCGGGGGAUACUGUUCGGCUAGGGGACGGGAGAGGCAGACGGUAUUUUCGGGGUAGGGGUGAAAUCCUAUAAUCCCGGAAAGACCACCAGUGGCGAAGGCUGUCUGCUAGAACGCGCCCGACGGUGAGGGAUGAAAGCUGGGGGAGCGAACCGGAUUAGAUACCCGGGUAGUCCCAGCUGUAAACGAUGCAGGCUAGGUGUUUGGACGGCCACGUGCCGUUCUAGUGCCGCAGGGAAGCCGUUAAGCCUGCCGCCUGGG